AAGGAUCAUUAAUGAAUUCACUAUGGAGUUGUUGCUGGCCUCUAGGGGCAUGUGCACGCUUCACUAGUCUUUCAACCACCUGUGAACUUUUGAUAGAUCUGUGAAGUCGUCUCUCAAGUCGUCAGACUUGGUUGCUGGGAUUUAAACGUCUCGGUGUGACUACGCAGUCUAUUUACUUACACACCCCAAAUGUAUGUCUACGAAUGUCAUUUAAUGGGCCUUGUGCCUUUAAACCAUAAUACAACUUUCAACAACGGAUCUCUUGGCUCUCGCAUCGAUGAAGAACGCAGCGAAAUGCGAUAAGUAAUGUGAAUUGCAGAAUUCAGUGAAUCAUCGAAUCUUUGAACGCACCUUGCGCCCCUUGGUAUUCCGAGGGGCAUGCCUGUUUGAGUGUCAUUAAAUUCUCAAACUCACUUUGGUCUCUUUCCAAUUGUGAUGUUUGGAUUGUUGGGGGCUGCUGGCCUUGACAGGUCGGCUCCUCUUAAAUGCAUUAGCAGGACUUCUCAUUGCCUCUGCGCAUGAUGUGAUAAUUAUCACUCAUCAAUAGCACGCAUGAAUAGAGUCCAGCUCUCUAAUCGUCCGCAAGGACAAUUUGACAAUUUGACCUCAAAUCAGGUAGGACUACCCGCUGAACUUAA
Molecule: ribosomal RNA, 638 nt
Filed under: Pleurotus ostreatus (oyster mushroom)
Lineage: Eukaryota; Fungi; Basidiomycota; Agaricomycetes; Agaricales; Pleurotaceae
Description: eukaryotic LSU rRNA
Rfam family: 5.8S ribosomal RNA (bases 243-396)
Source: RNAcentral